AAUACCGCGGCCCUUUAAAAUUUUUCAGUGGGCAGAUUAGACUUUAAAUUAUAUUCAAAAAGACAUGUUUUUGUUAAACAGGCGAGUAUUUUUUUGCCGAAUUCCUUAAUUUAACCUUUCAAAAUUAAUUCAUUUUAAACAAUUAAAUAUACUAAUUUUAUCAUUAUUUCAAUUUUUAUAUAAUUAUAAAAAUUAUUUUAAUAAAAACUUAAAUCAAUAAAAAUUACUUUUAAUUUAAAAUAAACUAUAACAUUUUUAUAAUUAAUGACUAUUUCUAAGCCUAUAAUUUUUAAAUUAAAAAAUUAUUAUAAAAUUUAUUUUAAAGCUUAUCCCUUAAAAUAUUAAUUAUUAAUAAUAAUUUAUUAUUUAAAUAAAUAAUUAUUUAUUAAUAAUCUAAAUUUAAUUUAUUUCUUAAAAAACUAGAUAUAUUCAAGAACGAAUAACAUUUCAUUUCUAAUUAAUUAUUUUAAAUUUUUAUAAAACAAAAAAUUAAAUAAUAAAUUAACUCUCUUAAAUUCGAGAAAAAUUAAAUUCUUAACUUUUAAUUAAUAAACCCUGAUACACAAGGUACAAUAUAUUAAAUUUACUUUUAAUUUAAAACUUUUUCAAAUAUUUCAAUAUUCUUUUACAAUACUAAUUAACUAUCAUAAAAAUUAUUUGAUCUAUAUACUAUACAAAAAAAAAUUAAAAUUAAAAUUAAUUUUAUUAAAUAAAUUAAUAAACAAAAAAAAAUAUAAAUUUUUAUUAUCAAAUUAAAUUGAAUUACACAAUAUACUUUUCAAUGUAAAUGAAAUGCUUUACUUUUCAAGCUCUAAUCUGUCUUUCUAGAUACACCUUC
RNAcentral lists this ribosomal RNA (838 nucleotides) under Panorpodes sp. 2019-Suzuki. RNAcentral describes it as "partial 16S rRNA". The record is from RNAcentral. Lineage: Eukaryota; Metazoa; Arthropoda; Insecta; Mecoptera; Panorpodidae.